Molecule: ribosomal RNA, 496 nt
Filed under: uncultured bacterium
Lineage: Bacteria
Description: partial 16S ribosomal RNA
Rfam family: Bacterial small subunit ribosomal RNA
Source: RNAcentral
AUGAACGCUGGCGGCGUGCCUAAUACAUGCAAGUCGAGCGAACGGACGAGAAGCUUGCUUCUCUGAUGUUAGCGGCGGACGGGUGAGUAACACGUGGAUAACCUACCUAUAAGACUGGGAUAACUUCGGGAAACCGUAGCUAAUACCGGAUAAUAUUUUGAACCGCUUGGUUCAAAAGUGAAAGACGGUCUUGCUGUCACUUAUAGAUGGAUCCGCGCUGCAUUAGCUAGUUGGUAAGGUAACGGCUUACCAAGGCAACGAUGCAUAGCCGACCUGAGAGGGUGAUAGGCCACACUGGAACUGAGACACGGUCCAGACUCCUAAGGGAGGCAGCAGUAGGGAAUCUUCCGCAAUGGGCGAAAGCCUGACGGAGCAACGCCGCGUGAGUGAUGAAGGUCUUCGGAUCGUAAAACUCUGUUAUUAGGGAAGAACAGAUGUGUAAGUAACUGUGCACAUCUUGACGGUACCUAAUCAGAAAGCCACGGCUAACUACGUG